Molecule: non-coding RNA, 141 nt
Organism: Aptenodytes forsteri (emperor penguin)
Lineage: Eukaryota; Metazoa; Chordata; Aves; Sphenisciformes; Spheniscidae
Source: Rfam
CACUUCUCAAUGAGCUCCUUCCUGCCAACAAAUCCGUGGCAGCCUAUGGAUUCGCACGAGAAGAAUAUUAACUGUUCAGUACUGGCAGACUCACAAUGGGGCUCCCCAUCGGUUGUGAUGAGCCACUGCUGUUCUACAAGU